This 9742-nucleotide long non-coding RNA is filed under the name Gallus gallus (chicken). RNAcentral's name for it is "lncRNA (ENSGALG00010005089.1)". The record is from RNAcentral. Lineage: Eukaryota; Metazoa; Chordata; Aves; Galliformes; Phasianidae.
AGGACAUUAUGAAGUUUUGAUGGCAAAGGACAACUCCUGAGAGCUGCACACAAAAUACAGUGGACUUUAAGCUAGAGGCGAUUAACAAAUGGUAUCACCUUCACUUUGUGUUCACAGAAAUAAUGAUGCAAAAGUUGUUCUGAGAGGCACAAGAGAAAAAACUGAUAUAGACAAUGCUGUGCUUUGCCCUCCAUUAAGGGUGGUUCCAUGCCGGUCACCAAACCUUUAAUUCAUGACUGUGGGAAACUUCUGCAGCAACCUCGUGGAAAUCAGAUGUUUCGCUAAAUCACUAUGAAGCCAAGAUAGUACAAGUGGAGCUAUUUGGCACCUAAUGCUUGUCAUUUAGUAUAGUUUUAUCUUCUAAUAAGCAUUCUCUGAAAAGAACCACAAAGACCAGAAUCAUAAAAAGCUCUAGGUUUAUCCGUGCUGCAAGGUGUUACAGAGAGGAAAACACUCCACUAGCCCAAGACAUGCAUGUACAUUUAGUUAAAAAAAAUUAAAAAAAAAGAAAGUAAAAAACAAAUAAACAAACAAAAAAGCCAUUAAUAGGCUUGUUAAGUGAAAAAUUAAAAAAACAUUCUGUUAUUUUGCUGCUUUUCUUUCUGCAAUGAAAUGCUAAACACUAAGACUGAAACCAAAUCCCAUAAAAUCUUGUUUAAACAAGACCAGUCAAAUGAAAAAUCCUUUUUAUGGAAAUUAACCUUCUGUGAGAAGAAAAGAAAACUCAACCAAAUAGGCAGCUGCAUGACACUGUAAAUUAGUACAUUAGCCUUUCAGCCUUAGGAGAAGAGAGUUUAUGUUCUGGCACUAGGUGCAAAACCAAACAAAUUUUGAGGUCUCAUAUGAGCUGUGCUCAUGCUGUACUUCUGAUAGUUCAUGUCAAAGAAAGGUCACUGUGAUUUGGCUGGAUCACAUGGUAGAUCUUUACCUCCUGUUUUCAUUAGCUACUAAAUUAAUUUAUUAAAAUAAGAGUGAAAAACAAAGGGAUGUCCUUUGUUUUUCUUAUAAAUUUACAUCCUUUAUGAGUAAAAACUGAGCUAAUGGAACAGAACCCAAUUUGUGAUCAGGUAUUGGUAAUAAUAAAAUUUCUUAUUUGGUAUUGCUUCAUCAUUCCUUUGACUCUACAACAUACCUUGGAAAAAGAUGGAGUUGCUGGAGGAUAGAGCAACCUCCUAGUAAAUGUAGAAUAUGUCUGAUGUACAAGUGCAGAUUUAUCUUUUCUCUUUUUAAGUUUACAGUUCCUCCAAAAACAUUAACUUCAUUCUUUUCAGCUGGUGGGAGUUGUCAUUAAAGGGUCCUGUCCCAACAUGUUUGCCCCAACAGCAGUUCUGCAGACCUGAGGGAGCAGACAGUACAGCAGAUGCCAGAUGAUUAGGACUAAAAGAAGAGAGUGGUGCACCUGGCUCCCUAGAUUCCUUGCCUCCUUUGGCUCGAAACUGCUACUCAGGUAAAACAAGCUGGCAAUGAACAUACUUCCUAUAGGCCUGGCAAAAUCAGCACAGGCUUUAAAAGGUUCUGCUCAUCUGUUUCAGAAGGAAGGAUACAUCUAAUAAUGCAUAAUAUCCUUAUAUAGACUUACAGUGGUCUUCAUGCUCAAAUAUCUCAUAUAUCAAAACCAAAUAAUGAAUAUAUUUACUUUCUGCAAUGUUUCUCUGCCACAGUAAGAUGUGUACAUCUAUCUGAAUAAAAUUAUGUGUCUACCUUAGUUUCCUGAAAAAGGGGAUUUCCAAAAUGAAAGAGGAUAAAAGACAGAAAAACCAAAGCCAAGUGAAAAAUAUAGAAUAAACUAGAAAAUGAAGUUUUCUAAUCUGAAGAAAAGAAAUAACAGAUUACCUUUUUCUCCUGAUGUUGAUAAAGAAAAAAAAAGAAGCAACAGACUGUUACAGCUCAAAUAAAACACAGAGAAAGAAAGAUUCUUGGAUUUGCAUGGAGAAGACAACAAAUAACUAGAUGCCAGAACCCAGUUCUUUACUUUUUACUUUCAUUUGCAUUUGUGCUGAUUGGUUUGACCUUGCUAGAUUCAGACCCUUCAUACAAGUGUAAAUGUACAACGAAAGAGCAGAGCCAGGAUGAAUCAGUGUCCUCACACAAAGCAAAUAAAUUAAAAAAAUAAAAGCAUAGAAGAUUAGCUUCAUCCAUAUGAUAAUGAGGUAGAGCAGGGAUAUCUGGGCCCAGUUCUGUUGAAUUCAACAGACUUCAGAGUUGUUUUUAUCUAAACUGCAGAAAAUAUCUGAGGCCAGCAGAAGAUGACAAAACCUGAUGCUUCUGAUUGAAUUUGGCUCUUAAUCUUCUUUCACUUGAAGUUCAGGUUACUACCAAUCCAGAGAAUGUCCACACAUUCAGAAAAUAAUACAUCAAAAGACAGACAGACAUAGAUUCCAUAUAUCUUAAGGCAGACUUAGAGAAAGCAUUUGAACUAUGUAGGUUAAAACAUUGUCACUAAAUAUUCACUGCUCUACAUUCUUUUGACAGAGGUGAUUACAUUUGCAAUCCUAAAGUCUCCAUUUACCUGCCAUAACUAUUACAUUUAACCUUAAACUCACUGAUUAUUCUUUUUCUCUAAGACUCGUGAAGUUCUUAUUUUGCAGUUCUUAGAGGAAGCUGAAUAUGUUUUCUAUUAUUAUGCAGAAACAUGGACUGUCUUAUAAAAGUAAGAGAAAUCUGUUAAAUGUUCUUCCCCUCAGAACUGCUUCUCCAUCCUUUCCUAAUUUCCAAAUUCACUUUGAAACUGAACAGAGAAAGAAAAAGUUUUAAAUGUAUUACGCUGAAUACAUUAUGCAUUGGUACAGUUCUUCCUCUAGUAUUUUCCUAGAGAUCUGACUUGUCAGUUUAUUUUACAUCCUCCUUGAUAAACUUCUGUAUCUUUUCAACCUGCUUCACCAAAACUGAUUCUGUGUGCUCCCUUUUUAAGGCAGUGAGACUGGCUGCUUCUGAAAUAGUGUACAGUUUUAUUAGUAGAUUUUAUAUACUGGGAGGGAUUUACUCUUGCUUUUUUUUGCCUAAUAGUGUCAGGCCAGAAAAAUGUUUUAUGAGGAUCACACUAAGUUGUACUUUACAGGUUCAGGAUGGCAGGAUCAUUAAUGACAUUUCUUAAUAGAAGCACUUAUAUAUUAAUAAUGUAUGCAUUAAUUACAUGGCUAUUAUAUAAAGUGCCUAUAGAGUCUAUGUACAUGAAUAGUAUCCAUGUAGUAAAUCAAAAAGCUAUAUGUCAACUAUAAUUAUCCAUGCAUUUUUAACUUUCUUUUUUUCCGGCUCCAUUGGGCAACCUCACAUUCCAGCAAAAUGGAUAACUUAAAAAAGAAAUUGGAUAAAAUUUCCAAUUUCCAUCCAUUUCCAACAAAAUCUGGAGUUUCCUCCCAAGUUACAACUAACUAAUGACCAAACUAGACUAAUUUGGUUAAAGCUUAAAUCCUACCUAAACUGCUUUUCUCAGUGAAGAAAACCAUUCAGAAUGUUAAAAAUGAUGUCUUAGUUCUUUUAGAUCCUGAGAUAUUCAGAUAGCAAAAAUACAAUUUUAAGUCAGCGAAGCCUACAUUAUCAAGAAAUUUUUAAAUCUAUAUAACUUAUCCUGAUACAUUUCUAAGAUGAAUUGGUUAUUUCCGAGUUCUUCCACAGAAAAUAAAUGCUCACAGUGCAAAAAAGAAGUCUCCAAAUCCCCAAUUCCCUCUUUUUUUUUUUUUUCCAGAUAUACAGUUUCUUUUUUCCUACUGUGUAUGUCUUUGUACUACUUUGUACAGCUGCUAAGGUUUUGGACUGGCCUCCUCCUGAGGAGUCCCCAGAUUUCCUCAGACACUUUGGGCAACCCAUGACAAGAGAGAUUCAAAAUCGUUUCUGUUGUUUUAACAACACUGAGCAAUAAAACAGCUGGAGAUAGCUUCAACCACAUUAAUUCACCCUGUACAAUUAUUAUCUAACACAUCUGUGCUGCUUCCCUAAGCCACUCUGACUUACUUACUUUGUCAGGACUUGAAAAUUUCUGUCACAGUGAUCGACCUCAUAUGCAGACUAUUGAUGAAGCCUACACUGUUAUUUAAAAAUUUGGAAAUGUUCUAAGAAUAGGAUUGUUUUUUGUUUGUUUGUUUGUUUGCUUUGCUUUACAGCACUGAGACAGAGAGAAAAUAGCCAAUGUUAUUAGAACAUUGGUAAAAAAGCCUUUUUUAUUCUGGGGGGAGCAGCUGCAAAUUGUACUUCUGCGCAACUAAACGUCACGGUAACAGCAAGCAUCUCAGGAAUGAGUAAUAUAUCUCCUUCACCUCGAUGUCACAUUGUACCACAGUGGUCCAUGAUGUAUUCUAUCAUUAUGAUGUAACAACAACUGCAUUCAGUAAAACUUGAGUCACAGGUUUCAGCUGUAAAUCUUAAUUCCAUUUUUCCAAGAACAAGAACCAAGAAAAAGGUUAGGAAGCUUGAUAUCUGUUGAAUUUUUUAGGGAAAGCUGAUUUUUCCCUCAUAAAGCAAAGUCAUGCACGCACACACACACACAAAUAAUUUAAAAAAAAACCCAUCUCGACAUAAACUUUGCACUUUAAAAAAUAUAUAUUUAAGGGACACUAGACUGGCUUGCUUUUCUUGGUGUGCUCUUUGCUACCUAUGUAAACUCCCCUAGCUUCAUUUCCUCAGCAAUAUCAUUGUUGCUUUUGCCAUGUUUUCUUUUAUCUUAUCAAUAAGGAUAUGUGGUUUUUAACAAAAUGAAUAUGUAAUGUAUCUGGACAAAUAUUGGCUUUGUCUCAUCAAAUUUGAGAUCAGUUCAUACAGAGCAAAAACUUGUUGGCUUGAGUUACUUAUAUUUCCAUAUAUAAUGAGAUUUUGGAUGUAUAGUCCAGCAGAAGUUAUGCUUAUCUGAUGCCCCAGAGUUAAAGGUUGCUGAGCAAACCAUUCUGUGCUGAAUUUUCCUUCUCAUGAGUUACAAUUUACAGCUUGCAGUUGCCAAUUUGCAGCCAUACAGAGAACUACAAUGUUCUUCUCUUACGCUUAAUGCCCACAGGAGUCUUUCUUUGCCCUUCCCUACAAGAUACAUACAUACGCAUCACAAUGUUCCUUUCAUGUAUGAAACGGCUGUCUUUGUAUGAGAAUGCAGCUCACACUUGCAGUGAUAUUUUAGACUGACACCAUUUUGGGACAGUGAGUCAGCAGGUCAUGCUUCUAUAGCUAGAUACUCAUAUAAAUUUUCAGAAAUACUGACUUCCCAUUACAUUUUAUGCACGGGGUCACCACGGAGUAAUACUUAAAUCAGACAAAUAAACCUGCCUCUUGUCUUCCAUAAAUAUUACUAACUGAAGACACUAUGCACACAGAAUUUCCAGAGCUUUUUCUUUAGGGUCUCUUGCUGUCAGUAUUUGUUAUAACCAUCCCAUCAAAAUCCAAACCAUCUCAUCAUGAGAAAUCACUGCAUGAAUCUGCACCUGCUUUCAAAGAGUCAGAUGCACUGGUCUGUUGAUAGAAUUGAUAUAAAUGCAUGAAGUCACCUACGGCUUUAAGUAGGAGUCCAAGUCUGAUGAAAUUAGGAUAUGUACUGCUUAAUGUUAUCUGUUGAGGAUGGAACUUAGAGCAUUAUGGAGUAUGCUACUGAUAGAGUUAGAGGUAAUAUGAGAAGGGAAAGACAUUCAUUAGUGGUUUCUUCUCUCUCCGUAUUUUGGGGGGUUAUAAUUUCUGAGUCUUGCUUCAAUCCUAUAUAUAUUGUUAAACAAUCUUAGUUUGGUCUAUGCAAAAAUGCCACAGAGAGAGAAAACAUCAUGGUGAAAUGUUAGGUGUGAGGACAACAAAGUGAACAUAAUAGUCACAGAUUGAUCUAUUAUUUUAUGUGUGUGUGUUUUCUUUCUUUUUUGAAAGAUGUGAAGUUCCCAGUUAAACACAAAUGCGGCAGUGUUUCUCUUUGGCCUCUAAAAAUAACUCCAUCCCAAUAUCAGCAGCUUAGUGAUCACGAGCAAGUUGACAAUAGCCCUUUAUAAAGGAUGUGCUUGCUAGACAAGGAAAACGAAUUCUAGAAACAAAGGAUUCCAGGUUCAAACUUACAGAUUUUGUGUAGAAGCACACAAACUACUGAGGGCAGUUUUGUUAUACACUUCUUUUUUUUUUUUUUUUUUCCUUUUUUUUUUUUUUUUUUCAAUCACAGGGCACAAACAAAAUGCAAGAUACUGAUCACCACCUUGAGCCUACAGAACUUAGUGCCUUCAUUUCAAAUAAUACUCACUUCCAGGAAAUACCAACUCCUCUUCUUUAGCCAAAGGUCCGUAUGUCCCAGCAUAGACCACAAUCAGUGUUUAGAAACAAGGAAUGGAAACAGGGUGGCACAUCCUUUGAGGGGCUGACACACUCUAUGUUAGACUCCCUGAUUUGGAGAGUUCAACUUCCUCAUCACUGUGGAGAAUCCUUGUUAGCCAUUUCUUUCAUAAUUAUUUCUAAGCAAUUUUUCUUAAUUCAUUGUAUUGUCAACGCUUGUGACAUCCCAAACAGCUUAUGUCAAAAAAUGUCACAAAUUAAUAACGAUGCUGUGUAACAAAGUACUUCCUUUAUUUUCUUUAAAUGCCCAAACUGCUUUUUUCUACUACCUCCAAAAUAAAUUCUUGUUAUGAAACUAAGUAAAUGAUUCUUCCCUGUUUUUCCCCCAGUGAUUUAUGGUACUGAAGACCUUGAUUUUAACCCUUCUCAGCUAUCUGUCCCAAGGUGAAUCUUUUUAAAUUUCUACAAUGUCACGAGCCACCUCUAAGUCUUGCUCAUUCUUGUGACCUCUCUCAGUAAAUUUUUAGGUCUCCAUAACCUGAGACAGUGAUCAGAACUGUAGCAGUGGUCAGAAGGACUGUUUUCCUACCAUUUAGAUGACAUAAAGCAAUAGUAAGCCAAGUUUAGUUUUUGGAACUGGAUUUGCCACAGCCAGGCUAUGUCACUUACGAAUAGAUAAAGAUCAUACAAACUACUCAAUUUAAUAGAUUGCAUAGCUCCAAGAACUGACCUGAACUGUUUUGGGGCAGUGCUUCUUCAAUCACUACAGCUAGAUUUACACAGAAAUGUUAGGUACUGUGAAGUAGAAUGUCUAACAUAAAUUUGGAAGAGUUAAACACCAAAAACAGAUACAUUAAAGAUUGAAUCUUGAACAAGUACAUACAAGCACUGUGUAAAUCUAAGAGUCUUAUUCUAAGAUUAGGCAUCUAUUCUGGGUUCCAAGGGCUACUUUAACUUCUGUGAGCAACCCCCUGCAGUGUCAUGCUGAAACUCUCCCUUUAAAAUAAUAACACAAAAGUUCUCUUCAUUUUAUUUCUCUGUAGAUGCAGAUCUAGGUCUUCACUCAUUUUGUGUCUCUUUCCCACAUUUCAUUCCCAAAGGAAGCAGAGAAGCCCUGGUUCAUCUGACCAGCAUUUGAAAGAGCUUUCGGAGGCCGUUAGAUAUCCUAAUACCUACAGCUGAUCUCACAGAGCCUUAUAAAAUGGAGCAGAGCAGUAGCUGAAAAUCCUUUGACAGUCUAGCCUUUCUGGCUACACCUGCAGUAUACCUGAAAUUUUCUAGUCCUUAGAAUAACUGGAAGCUUAGCGCACUCCUUAAGACUUCUAAAUGGCCACACCAGCUUCACAAAGAGCUAGAAAGGCAGCCUGACCUACAGGUCUCUACCACUGUCACAGAGGCCAACAGUAAGCCACAUGUAGCAGGGACUCCAGCACAUACAUUCUGUCAGCCUUUGUCACAAAAGGCCAUUGUAAUGUAGGGAUGCAAAGAGCUCCAGUGCAGAGAGCUUUAUAUAAAAAUGGAUUGAGUUGUCUGUAUCGGUAGAAUUCAGAACACAUACAUUUUUGUUUAAUUUCAACUUUUUUUUUUUAUUGGUCUCAUGCUAUGCCCUAGAUCUUGAUCAUUUUCUUCUCUCUGAAUAAUGUAACAAGUGAAAGCGUCCCACGUAGAUACCACAUCUAGAAAGGCAUGCACAUUACUAACAACAGACCAUGGACUCUGUUAGGGCAAAGCUGCAUAGCUAACUUUACUGAUUUGCACCAGCCCACAAUGUGACCCAUUAUCCUUGAAAGUUGUCCAUUUUUUUUUUUUUUUAAUAUAGUGGGACAAUAAAGUCACUACAUUUAUAGCCCCAGAACACUCUCUGCAUAUUCCAAUAUCUUGUUUGCUCUUUUAACAGCUGCCAAACACUGUGCAGAUGGUUUUACUGAGUUAUCAACAAUCACUCCAGAGGCAGUUCUGAUAUUCCUGUCCUUGGGGCUGAACUAACCGGGGCCAGCACGCCCUUGGUGCAGCCUUGUUGGCGCAGCACAUUUGGCCCACUGACCACAUAGAGCACUGCCUGCAAUUACCUCCUCUCUCCUCCUCUUAUCUCAGUUUACUGACUCUGUACUUAUCUUGGUCCCUUACUUCCUUAUCUAAAACACUGCAAUCUUCCAGGUCCCCUAAUGCAGCUCAUGAUUUGACUCCUGUUGUUCUCAUCUAAUAUUAUUGUCCCUUUCUGCAUUUUACUUUCUCUCUUCCUUUUCCUGAAGCACUCCCAAAAGCACUGGGGUCUUAAAAGUCAUUGCUGUUUACAGAGUUUAUUACUUUCCAUCAUUUCUUAUGAUCCUCCUGCAGCUUGUCUUUCAAAUAGUUAUCUCCAUGAUUUAUUGUAUCGGUCAUACAGUUUCCUCCUUCCCGUACAAAUCAGCUCCAGCUUAGCUAGUUGGUAGGGCUAGACUGUCACUGAUAGGCUUUCUCCCAUUUCUGUGCCUCCCCUGGGCACACUGGGAUCAUGCUCCUCUGCCCUUCUACAUACAUACAUGUAGACCUCAUCAGGUCUCUCAGGGCAUGUUCACUGCAGCCAACCAGGCAGCAGCCUUGCCUGUGUAUUUGAGCAAACGUCUCAAGCUCUGAGGAGCUGGUACCUCUACAAAACCACCUCCUUCUGCCUCUGUCUGGUUGUGUAGCCUUACGCCUACACAUCCCAGGGAAAACUGUCUGAAAGCCACCAAAGCCACCCCUGAUGGUGUCUCUAAAACAUUCAACCUCAACUCCCAUACCUGAGCUUCUAUAAACUGCCACUGUACUGACAAACAGAGUCUUUUUGUUUUUUAACUAAAAUCCUAGAAUCAGAGAAUAUCUUUAGAUGGGAAGGAUGCACAAGGAUCAGGGAGUCCAACUGCUGCCUCCACACAGGAUCACCCAGAAUUCAAACCUUAUUUCAGAGAGUACUGUCCAAACAUUUCUUGAACUUCAGGAAUUUGGGGCUAUGACCCUGGGGAGCCUGUUCCAGUGCCUGAACACCACCAGGUGAAGGAUCUUCUCCUAAAACCCAACCCAACCCACUCCUGACACAAAUUCAUGGCAUUCCUUUGAGUGAAGAAUUGUUUUAAAAUAUCUUCAAAUGGAUCAGCUCUGUCUUACCACAGAAUGGAGCAGAGAAAUCAGUAAAAUCAUCUCUACUCAUUGUUUUUUGGAGCUCUUGCAGCAAAGAGCUGGCACAGCCUACACUGCAGAUCAAACAGCAAACGUUAUUUUGGACCCCUGGUUAUCUGGAGUAAGGAAAGAGAUGCAUAAAGGAAGUUAUAAAACAAAAUGAACCAAGCUACUAGCAAACCAGCAAAAAUAAGAAGAAUAAAAAUAUAAACGGCUGUAGUAACCUCACUACUCUGCAAGCAAAAAGCAUGAACAUGGGCAUAAAUGUCCAGAGAGCUUUGCAAAAGCAAAGAGAAUUGUAUUUCAUCAGGUCUAAACACCUGAUUGUGACCCUGCCUCAGAGAUACCUUCCUGUAACGUCUAUUACCAUCAGGAAGUUCAUUCC